This 467-nucleotide ribosomal RNA is filed under the name uncultured bacterium. Its description in RNAcentral is "partial 16S ribosomal RNA". It matches the Rfam family "Bacterial small subunit ribosomal RNA", at positions 28 to 506 of the family's 1533-position model. The record is from RNAcentral.
GAUGAACGCUGGCGGCGUGCUUAACACAUGCAAGUCGAACGGUGAAGGCGGAGCUUGCUCUGCUGGAUCAGUGGCGAACGGGUGAGUAACACGUGAGCAAUCUGCCCCUGACUCUGGGAUAAGCGCUGGAAACGGCGUCUAAUACUGGAUACGAGCUGCGAAGGCAUCUUCAGCAGCUGGAAAGAAUUUCGGUCAGGGAUGAGCUCGCGGCCUAUCAGCUUGUUGGUGAGGUAAUGGCUCACCAAGGCGUCGACGGGUAGCCGGCCUGAGAGGGUGACCGGCCAAAAGGGGACGGAGACACGGCCCAGACCCCUACGGGAGGCAGCAGGGGGGAAUAUUGCACAAGGGGCGAAAGCCUGAGGAAGCAACCCCGCGGGGGGGACGACGGCCUUGGGGUUGUAAACCUCUUUUGGCGGGGAAGAAGGGAAAGGGGCGGUACCUGCAGAAAAAGCCCCGGCAAACUACGU